UACGUAGGGCGCAAGCGUUGUCCGGAAUUAUUGGGCGUAAAGAGCUUGUAGGCGGUUUGUCGCGUCUGCUGUGAAAGCCCGGGGCUUAACUCCGGGUCUGCAGUGGGUACGGGCAGGCUAGAGUGUGGUAGGGGAGACUGGAAUUCCUGGUGUAGCGGUGAAAUGCGCAGAUAUCAGGAGGAACACCGAUGGCGAAGGCAGGUCUCUGGGCCAUAACUGACGCUGAGAAGCGAAAGCAUGGGGAGCGAACAGG
Molecule: ribosomal RNA, 253 nt
Filed under: uncultured bacterium
Lineage: Bacteria
Description: partial 16S ribosomal RNA
Rfam family: Bacterial small subunit ribosomal RNA
Source: RNAcentral